Molecule: long non-coding RNA, 634 nt
Organism: Oncorhynchus tshawytscha (Chinook salmon)
Lineage: Eukaryota; Metazoa; Chordata; Actinopteri; Salmoniformes; Salmonidae
Source: Ensembl
ACAGGUAAAACCUACAGGAGGGUAGCUCUCCAGGAACAGGGUUGGAGGUAAAACCUACAGGAGGGUAGCUGUCCAGGAACAGGGUUGGAGGUAAAACCUACAGGAGGGUAGCUGUCCAGGAACAGGGUUGGAGGUAAAACCUACAGGAGGGUAGCUCUCCAGGAACAGGGUUGGAGGUAAAACCUACAGGAGGGUAGCUCUCCAGGAACAGGGUUGGAGGUAAAACCUACAGGAGGGUAGCUCUCCAGGAACAGGGUUGGAGGUAAAACCUACAGGAGGGUAGCUGUCCAGGAACAGGGUUGGAGGUAAAACCUACAGGAGGGUAGCUCUCCAGGAACAGGGUUGGAGUUAAAACCUACUGGAGGGUAGCUGUCCAGGAACAGGGUUGGAGAUAAAACCUGCUGGAGGGUAGCUGUCCAGGAACAGGGUUAGAGUUAAAACCUACAGGAGGGUAGCUGUCCAGGAACAGGGUUGGAGAUAAAACCUACUGGAGGGUAGCUGUCCAGGAACAGGGUUGGAGUUAAAACCUACUGGAGGGUAGCUGUCCAGGAACAGGGUUGGAGUUAAAACCUACAGGAGGGUAGCUGUCCAGGAACAGGGUUGGAGGUAAAACCUACGGGAGGGUAGCUGUCCA